This 253-nucleotide ribosomal RNA is filed under the name uncultured bacterium. RNAcentral describes it as "partial 16S ribosomal RNA". It matches the Rfam family "Bacterial small subunit ribosomal RNA", at positions 524 to 776 of the family's 1533-position model. The record is from RNAcentral.
UACAGAGGUCCCAAGCGUUGUUCGGAUUCAUUGGGCGUAAAGGGUGCGUAGGCGGCGCGGUAAGUCGGGUGUGAAAUCUCGGAGCUUAACUCCGAAACUGCAUUCGAUACUGCCGUGCUUGAGGACUGGAGAGGAGACUGGAAUUUACGGUGUAGCGGUGAAAUGCGUAGAUAUCGUAAGGAAGACCAGUGGCGAAGGCGGGUCUCUGGACAGUUCCUGACGCUGAGGAGCGAAAGCCAGGGGAGCAAACGGG